This is a non-coding RNA of Dendrothele bispora CBS 962.96, 84 nucleotides long. Lineage: Eukaryota; Fungi; Basidiomycota; Agaricomycetes; Agaricales. The record is from the annotation of a GenBank genome assembly.
GGUCCUGUAGUGUAGCGGUUAUCACAUGGGAUUCUGACGUCACUUGUCCUUCCCAUGACCCAGGUUCGAUUCCUGGCAGGACCU